GGAUGAAUAGGCACAGACUAUUGUGUACAGUUCUUUUGCUUUAUAACGGAUCUCCAAAAUCUCGUAGUUAGAACAUGUGGUCCUUAACUACAUCAGG
Molecule: long non-coding RNA, 97 nt
Organism: Arabidopsis lyrata subsp. lyrata
Lineage: Eukaryota; Viridiplantae; Streptophyta; Magnoliopsida; Brassicales; Brassicaceae
Exons: 2
Source: RefSeq, a predicted model, not a curated record